This 913-nucleotide ribosomal RNA is filed under the name uncultured marine archaeon. Its description in RNAcentral is "bacterial SSU rRNA". It matches the Rfam family "Archaeal small subunit ribosomal RNA", at positions 1 to 921 of the family's 1478-position model. The record is from RNAcentral.
UUCCGGUUGAUCCUGCCGGACCUGACUGCUAUCGGAUUGAUACUAAGCCAUGCGAGUCUUUGCAGUAAUGCAAGGCAUACGGCUCAGUAACACGUAGUCAACCUACCCUAUGGACGGGGAUAAUCUCGGGAAACUGAGCAUAAUACCCGGCAGACCACUUAUCCUGGAAUGGUUAGUGGUUAAAAUGAUUCGUCGCCAUAGGAUGGGACUGCGGCCUAUCAGCUUGUUGGUGAGGUAAUGGCCCACCAAGGCGAUUACAGGUACGGGCUCUGAGAGGAGAAGCCCGGAGAUGGGUACUGAGACAAGGACCCAGGCCCUAUGGGGCGCAGCAGGCGAGAAAACUUUGCAAUGUGCGAAAGCACGACAAGGUUAAUCCGAGUGAUUUCUGCUAAAGAAAUCUUUUGCAAGUCAUAAAACCACUAGUGAAUAAGGGGUGGGCAAGUUCUGGUGUCAGCCGCCGCGGUAAAACCAGCACCUCAAGUGGUCAGGAGGAUUAUUGGGCCUAAAGCAUCCGUAGCCGGCUCUGUAAGUUUUCGGUUAAAUCCAUGUGCUCAACAUAUGGGCUGCCGAAAAUACUGCAUAGCUAGGGAGUGGGAGAGGUAGACGGUACUCGGUAGGAAGGGGUAAAAUCCUUUGAUCUAUCGAUGACCACCUGUGGCGAAGGCGGUCUACCAGAACACGUUCGACGGUGAGGGAUGAAAGCUGGGGGAGCAAACCGGAUUAGAUACCCGGGUAGUCCCAGCUGUAAACUAUGCAAACUCAGUGAUGCAUUGACUUGUGGUCAAUGCAGUGCUGCAGGGAAGCCGUUAAGUUUGCCGCCUGGGAAGUACGUACGCAAGUAUGAAACUUAAAGGAAUUGGCGGGGGAGCACCACAAGGGGUGAAGCCUGCGGUUCAAUUGGAUUCAACGCCGG